This 133-nucleotide ribosomal RNA is filed under the name uncultured bacterium. RNAcentral describes it as "partial 16S ribosomal RNA". It matches the Rfam family "Bacterial small subunit ribosomal RNA", at positions 356 to 480 of the family's 1533-position model. The record is from RNAcentral.
GGGGAAUAUUGCGCAAUGGGGGAAACCCUGACGCAGCAACGCCGCGUGAGUGAGGAAGGCUUUCGGGUCGUAAAGCUCUGUCAGAUGGGAAGAAAGUGCAUUGGUCUAAUAGGCCAGUGUAUUGACGGUACCU